Molecule: long non-coding RNA, 796 nt
Filed under: Equus asinus (donkey)
Lineage: Eukaryota; Metazoa; Chordata; Mammalia; Perissodactyla; Equidae
Description: lncRNA (ENSEASG00005035213.1)
Source: RNAcentral
CCAGCCCCUCCCCAACCCGACGGGGGGCGGAGCUGUCCUCCGGAGGGGCGUGGGCAGAGCAGGAGUCCAGGGCUCCCGGUCGCUCACCCCAGCUGCUCUGGGCGGUCGAGGACUGUGGAGGAGAGGCCUCCCACAGCCAGUGGUGUUCACAGAAAGGGGAAAGUGGAGCAGAACUCUGGACGCUCACCUCUUCCAAGCCGGCACCAUCCCCCAGCUCCACAGAGUGACUACCACCCUUCCAGCCCCCAAGACUUUUCAUGGCCGUUCCUUGGAUGCUGCCCCCCCAACUCUGCAUGUGCCUUUAGGGUGUGGCCUGGGCCUUGAGAUUCAGCACCAACCUGGGGCUUUGUUGAAGACAAAGUUCUCUGGGCCCCGGAAGAAGCAAUGAGGGCUUAGGAAGACUGACCAGCAGGUCACCUCCUCCAGACAGGCCUCCUAGAUACAAGCAGCCCAGGAUUGAAAAACUUUGAUGCUCCCUUCCUCCCUGAUUCCUGGAGGGCUUGGUGCCCACAGAGCUCACAUUCCUGAGCAUGGCCUCUUCCUGCUUCUCCAUACACCUGCGGUUGCACUGGGAAGGGAGGUGUUCCCCGUGUGUCUAGGGCCCAGCAACUGCGAGACACCCACCAGGCAGGUGUCUUCCAUCUGUUUCUGUGUCCAGGAUUCGUGUUUUUCAAGGGCCAAUGGAAACGCUGAGAUCUAAAAGCGUGUUGAUUGGCGCCAAAGCCUGAAAAUAAACUUCAAAAUAAAAUUAAUAAGCUUUAUUGAAUGGCUACAAAAUUUAACACUAUAUUGAAAA